This is a transfer RNA of 72 nucleotides. It matches the Rfam family "tRNA". From Rfam's summary of the family: Transfer RNA (tRNA) molecules are approximately 80 nucleotides in length. Their secondary structure includes four short double-helical elements and three loops (D, anti-codon, and T loops). Further hydrogen bonds mediate the characteristic L-shaped molecular structure. tRNAs have two regions of fundamental functional importance: the anti-codon, which is responsible for specific mRNA codon recognition, and the 3' end, to which the tRNAs corresponding amino acid is attached (by aminoacyl-tRNA synthetases). tRNAs cope with the degeneracy of the genetic code in two manners: having more than one tRNA (with a specific anti-codon) for a particular amino acid; and 'wobble' base-pairing, i.e. permitting non-standard base-pairing at the 3rd anti-codon position.
GGACUCGUAGCUCAGCGGUAGAGCGCUUCGUUCACAUCGAAGAAGUCGAAGGUUCGAAUCCUUUCGGGUCCA